GUUCUCCCCAUAUACAUACAUGGCAUGUUUUGGUAAAUAGUUAAACAGGACUUAAAUAGCAUUGCGUCAAUUUCAACAGUUGUAGCCUUCAUUAAGAAACACAUUACAGUAGAUUUACAGACUCAGAAUUAUCUCCGUAUGUUGAAUACCAAAAGCAUAAGCACACUAAAAGGUCAUGUUUUAGGACAUCCAAUAAAAAUGGAAAAGAAGUGUGCAGAUUCGGUAUUCCGUACCCUCCAAUGCCAUAAACGGAGAUAUUCAGUCCACUGCCAGAAGAAAC
Molecule: long non-coding RNA, 280 nt
Filed under: Drosophila guanche
Lineage: Eukaryota; Metazoa; Arthropoda; Insecta; Diptera; Drosophilidae
Source: RNAcentral